This 1024-nucleotide ribosomal RNA is filed under the name Leuconostoc mesenteroides. RNAcentral's name for it is "bacterial SSU rRNA". It matches the Rfam family "Bacterial small subunit ribosomal RNA", at positions 438 to 1454 of the family's 1533-position model. Lineage: Bacteria; Bacillati; Bacillota; Bacilli; Lactobacillales; Lactobacillaceae. The record is from RNAcentral.
GUAUGGGAAGAACAGCUAGAAUAGGAAAUGAUUUUAGUUUGACGGUACCAUACCAGAAAGGGACGGCUAAAUACGUGCCAGCAGCCGCGGUAAUACGUAUGUCCCGAGCGUUAUCCGGAUUUAUUGGGCGUAAAGCGAGCGCAGACGGUUUAUUAAGUCUGAUGUGAAAGCCCGGAGCUCAACUCCGGAAUGGCAUUGGAAACUGGUUAACUUGAGUGCAGUAGAGGUAAGUGGAACUCCAUGUGUAGCGGUGGAAUGCGUAGAUAUAUGGAAGAACACCAGUGGCGAAGGCGGCUUACUGGACUGCAACUGACGUUGAGGCUCGAAAGUGUGGGUAGCAAACAGGAUUAGAUACCCUGGUAGUCCACACCGUAAACGAUGAACACUAGGUGUUAGGAGGUUUCCGCCUCUUAGUGCCGAAGCUAACGCAUUAAGUGUUCCGCCUGGGGAGUACGACCGCAAGGUUGAAACUCAAAGGAAUUGACGGGGACCCGCACAAGCGGUGGAGCAUGUGGUUUAAUUCGAAGCAACGCGAAGAACCUUACCAGGUCUUGACAUCCUUUGAAGCUUUUAGAGAUAGAAGUGUUCUCUUCGGAGACAAAGUGACAGGUGGUGCAUGGUCGUCGUCAGCUCGUGUCGUGAGAUGUUGGGUUAAGUCCCGCAACGAGCGCAACCCUUAUUGUUAGUUGCCAGCAUUCAGAUGGGCACUCUAGCGAGACUGCCGGUGACAAACCGGAGGAAGGCGGGGACGACGUCAGAUCAUCAUGCCCCUUAUGACCUGGGCUACACACGUGCUACAAUGGCGUAUACAACGAGUUGCCAACCCGCGAGGGUGAGCUAAUCUCUUAAAGUACGUCUCAGUUCGGAUUGUAGUCUGCAACUCGACUACAUGAAGUCGGAAUCGCUAGUAAUCGCGGAUCAGCACGCCGCGGUGAAUACGUUCCCGGGUCUUGUACACACCGCCCGUCACACCAUGGGAGUUUGUAAUGCCCAAAGCCGGUGGCCUAACCUUUAGGAAGGAGCC